RNAcentral lists this ribosomal RNA (459 nucleotides) under uncultured bacterium. RNAcentral's name for it is "partial 16S ribosomal RNA". It matches the Rfam family "Bacterial small subunit ribosomal RNA", at positions 338 to 795 of the family's 1533-position model. The record is from RNAcentral.
CCUACGGGAGGCAGCAGUGAGGAAUAUUGGUCAAUGGACGAGAGUCUGAACCAGCCAAGUAGCGUGAAGGAUGACUGCCCUAUGGGUUGUAAACUUCUUUUGUCAAGGGACAAAAUCAGGCUCGAGAGCCUGACCGAGGGUACUUGAAGAAAAAGCAUCGGCUAACUCCGUGCCAGCAGCCGCGGUAAUACGGAGGAUGCGAGCGUUAUCCGGAUUUAUUGGGUUUAAAGGGUGCGUAGGCGGGCUGUUAAGUCAGCGGUAAAAGCCCGGGGCUCAACCCCGGCGAGCCGUUGAAACUGGCUGUCUUGAGAUGUCGAGAGGUAUGCGGAAUGCGCAGUGUAGCGGUGAAAUGCUUAGAUAUUGCGCAGAACUCCGAUUGCGAAGGCAGCAUACCGGCGGCGAUCUGACGCUGAGGCACGAAAGCGUGGGUAUCGAACAGGAUUAGAUACCCCGGUAGUC